RNAcentral lists this transfer RNA (85 nucleotides) under Canis lupus familiaris (dog). It matches the Rfam family "tRNA". Rfam says of the family: Transfer RNA (tRNA) molecules are approximately 80 nucleotides in length. Their secondary structure includes four short double-helical elements and three loops (D, anti-codon, and T loops). Further hydrogen bonds mediate the characteristic L-shaped molecular structure. tRNAs have two regions of fundamental functional importance: the anti-codon, which is responsible for specific mRNA codon recognition, and the 3' end, to which the tRNAs corresponding amino acid is attached (by aminoacyl-tRNA synthetases). tRNAs cope with the degeneracy of the genetic code in two manners: having more than one tRNA (with a specific anti-codon) for a particular amino acid; and 'wobble' base-pairing, i.e. permitting non-standard base-pairing at the 3rd anti-codon position. The record is from Rfam by way of RNAcentral. RNAcentral also lists the same sequence under 1 other name. Lineage: Eukaryota; Metazoa; Chordata; Mammalia; Carnivora; Canidae.
GCCUGAGUGGCUCAGUGGUUAAGCGUCUGCCUUUGGCUCAGGACGCGUGAUCCUGGAGUCGUGGGAUCAAGUCCCACAUCAGGUU